GACGAACGCUGGCGGCGUGCUUAACACAUGCAAGUCGAACGAGAAUCUGCUGAAGGAGGAUUCGUCCAACGGAAGCAGAGGAAAGUGGCGGACGGGUGAGUAACGCGUGAGGAACCUGCCUUGAAGAGGGGGACAACAGUUGGAAACGACUGCUAAUACCGCAUGACGCAUAGAGGUCGCAUGAUCUUUAUGCCAAAGAUUUAUCGCUUCAAGAUGGCCUCGCGUCUGAUUAGCUAGUUGGCGGGGUAACGGCCCGACCAAGGCGACGAUCAGUAGCCGGACUGAGAGGUUGAACGGCCACAUUGGGACUGAGAUACGGCCCAGACUCCUACGGAGGCAGCAGUGGGGAAUAUUGGGCAAUGGGCGCAAGCCUGACCCAGCAACGCCGCGUGAAGGAGAAGGCUUUCGGGUUGUAAAC
Molecule: ribosomal RNA, 418 nt
Filed under: uncultured bacterium
Lineage: Bacteria
Description: bacterial SSU rRNA
Rfam family: Bacterial small subunit ribosomal RNA
Source: RNAcentral